UACGAAGGGGGCUAGCGUUUUUCGGAAUUACUGGGCGUAAAGCGCACGUAGGCGGAUAUUUAAGUCAGGGGUGAAAUCCCGCAGCUCAACUGCGGAACUGCCUUUGAUACUGGGUAUCUUGAGUAUGGAAGAGGUAAGUGGAAUUCCGAGUGUAGAGGUGAAAUUCGUAGAUAUUCGGAGGAACACCAGUGGCGAAGGCGGCUUACUGGUCCAUUACUGACGCUGAGGUGCGAAAGCGUGGGGAGCAAACAGG
RNAcentral lists this ribosomal RNA (253 nucleotides) under uncultured bacterium. Its description in RNAcentral is "partial 16S ribosomal RNA". It matches the Rfam family "Bacterial small subunit ribosomal RNA", at positions 524 to 776 of the family's 1533-position model. The record is from RNAcentral.